GACGAACGCUGGCGGCGUGCCUAAUACAUGCAAGUAGAACGCACAGUUUAUACCGUAGCUUGCUACACCAUAAACUGUGAGUUGCGAACGGGUGAGUAACGCGUAGGUAACCUGCCUGGUAGCGGGGGAUAACUAUUGGAAACGAUAGCUAAUACCGCAUAAUAUUGAUUAUUGCAUGAUAAUUGAUUGAAAGAUGCUAUUGCAUCACUACCAGAUGGACCUGCGUUGUAUUAGCUAGUAGGUGAGGUAACGGCUCACUUAGGCGACGAUACAUAGCCGACCUGAGAGGGUGAUCGGCCACACUGGGACUGAGACACGGCCCAGACUCCUACGGGAGGCAGCAGUAGGGAAUCUUCGGCAAUGGACGAAAGUCUGACCGAGCAACGCCGCGUGAGUGAAGAAGGUUUUCGGAUCGUAAAGCUCUGUUGUAAGAGAAGAACGGGUGUGAGAGUGGAAAGUUCACACUGUGACGGUAUCUUACCAGAAAGGGACGGCUAACUACGUG
This 505-nucleotide ribosomal RNA is filed under the name uncultured bacterium. RNAcentral describes it as "partial 16S ribosomal RNA". It matches the Rfam family "Bacterial small subunit ribosomal RNA", at positions 28 to 507 of the family's 1533-position model. The record is from RNAcentral.